Long non-coding RNA from Equus caballus (horse), 2815 nucleotides. Lineage: Eukaryota; Metazoa; Chordata; Mammalia; Perissodactyla; Equidae. The record is from Ensembl.
CCUGGGUAUUUUUCUUAAGGAAUAACUCAAAGAAGUAUGUUUUGUGCUCUAAGAGAUUCAGUCACACAAGCUUAGCAGCGGUUUUGGCUGCUGCAGACCACCCACACUGCUCUGAGGACUCCUGGGCAGCCUGACUUGGGUGUCUACAAUGACCAUUAUGCAUUGCAUCUCUUGCUGAGGCCAUAGGUUCCACAGGGUCAAGAUCUAAAGUUGAACAAUUCAAGCUCAUCUUAUGCAUCUAAGAACCCACAAUCCAUUGAGGCAGCAGGCAACAGCCAAGAACAUUAGAUACCUCAUCUUCCUUUACAUGUCUCCAAGGGAUGCCAUUGGGAUCCAUCAUUCCUACAGCUGUUUUGACAAGUUCUGGGUGAAGGAAUGGUGUGUCGUGAGGACUAUUGCCUGGGGAAAGAGGAAGAAGAUUAACACACUAUAGGGGAACCAUGAUUUCGUUCUCUGCUAGGGAAGACAUUGCUGAAAAAGAAAGUCCUCAGUUACUGCACUGCCAUUCAUGAUAUCCCCAAAUGGCUCCUAAUUGCCUCUCCUCAGCUUAGCCUUCAAAGUCGUCCACCAUCUGUACUAUCUUCUACAUAAUGUGAUAUCAAGGCUUAUCUCCAAUAUCUGCUUUUAUGACCUCAAUACUUGUGGUAAACCAGUUAAUACAUUGUCUCUUGAUUACAUUUUGCACUUGCUCAUUCUUUAGUCUGUUUUGUUUGUCUGAAAAAUCCCUUUUCCUGAGUUUACCCAUCCAAAUUCUUACUGAUUCUUCAAGGUUCAGGACAAAUGCCACUUAUCCAAGAAGCCUCUUGCUUGAAUAAUAUAUAAAAACCAAGAGAGAAGUUAUAGUCGUUAAGAAGGGAUUCUAUAAGGAGAGACACUUACUUUGGAUGGCUUCUGCUGGAUUCCAGAACCUCUUUGCUAUCAGGUGUGCUGUAGCGACCUAGGUGGCUGUAUAUGAUAGUAAAUUGGGACUUUGAAAGCUAGGUAAACAUUUUUGCGCCCUUCCUAGAUCUCUCUUAUCAGGCAUUGAAUACAUCUCCAAGCUUCUUUGAGAGCUGGCUUCUAAUGUUCAUAGCCACAGUGUUUCAAGAAUUUCUCUUCACUGAAAGGAAUGUAAUUGACUGGAAAUAUCUGGGAGUGCAUGCCCUCACUCCCAGGAAGGCCCAUGGCCAACAGUUGACCCAAUUAUCAACAGUGAUUUAGAAACAUCAACAACCAAAACACCCUAUUGUUACGAGAUAGGACAACUCUGAGGUGCCUUUCAUGCUCCAGUGCUCCCCGUGGGAUCAAACUAAAGUUAGACUUUAGCAGAGCCCACAACUUUAUGUAGCUUUUCUGCAUGCCUUAUCCUGCUUCUCUCUCAUCCUUACAGUUUGCCCUGAGAUCACUUCUUACUAAAUCACUUGCAAAACAGUUGCUGUCUAAAGCUCUGCUUUUGGAGAAUUUGUCAUAAGACAGAGUCUCAGUGCAUACACAGGAAUGAGGACUGUGUAUACUUUAUUACACACACUCAAAAAUUGUUUAAAAAAACAAUGGAGUAUAAGUGUUAGGUUCUGAUUUCUGGCCCAGAUUCCUUCUCCCUUGAGGGACUAGUUAUAACCCAUAACCAUCAUUUCCAGUCAUAUAGUCAUACAGACUGAAUUACUUCUUGUAGGUCUUAUUGUAUUUGUUCCUUAUGGUGCUAGAAUUUCUGCUUCCUGCUAAAUGGCCAUGAUUACUAGAGACAAAUAUUUUUUUUCUCAUGCAUCUAUUCAGAGGACGUGUAGUUAAUACUGAGUUCAUAUCAUUGCUCUUCUAUGGAUGCCUGUGGUAGGAUCUGCAAAGACAGAUGGGGAGCAUGAUGCUGCUGCUGCUCUGUGUUUCUCUACCCUAAAUCAUCAGUCUAUCUUUGCUGUUACCUUCAUCCACUGCUCUUCCAACUGCAAUGCUAAGUCAGCCACAGGGAGGGUAAUGGAAAUAACAGCGUCAUUUCCUUCUAGAAAAUGGACUUUCAGACAUCAUCAGUCCUCCCGUCCAUUAUGAAUAAAUUUGUGCAUGUUGCAUCUUCUUCAUAACACUAUUUACUAUCUUGCAGGAAAUAGUAGCAUACAGCAUUAAUCAAUUCAUUCAUUCAAAAAUUAUAUUGCCUGCCUCUUAUAUCCAGACACUGUCCUAGGUAGGCUAUGGGAAAUAUAAGUAACAGCCAAAGAUGUCUGCCCUCAUGGAAUAAAUCUUCUAGCAUCUUCAAAGCAGAAUGAGAGGAAACUAUGGUGUAGCAUUAACUUACUAUUUGAAAAAAUUAAAAGAGGAAAGAAUAUUUCAAUACCCUUGUCAAGCAGAGUAGUCACCAAUAAACCUCCAAUCGUUUAAACUUCCUCUACCAGCUUUCAGCAAGGGACAGAGAGAGGAAGAUGAAAAACGGAGAUGCAAAAAAAGGUAGAGAGACAAAACAUAGGAAAAUGUGGUGGGAGUAGGAAUUAUUUGUUUGAUCUUAAGGCCCAUUUUCUUGAAUUAAAUAAUAAUUCAUAUAAUUGAUGAAACUGUUCUGCAACAGAAAAGAACAAUCUUAUCUGAUAGUAUUGGUCCUUAUUAUUCAUUUCAAUAACUUAAAAAAAAAUUUCCGUCACUCUUUAAAGAUUCCUCAUGUCAAUUUGCAGUCCAUACCUCUGUAUGCCCCUGGCCCCAGGUAACUGUAUUUCUGCCUUUUACAGUUUGGCAAUGUAGAUUAAUUUACUUUUUUAUAGAAUUUUAUAAUUUAGAAACACAUAGUGUACUCCAUUGUAUGUGGUGUUUUUCUAUCAACAUAAUUAUUUUGAGAUUCAUUCAUGUUCUGUAUAUG